GACGUAGGGCGCGAGCGUUGUCCGGAUUUAUUGGGCGUAAAGAGCUUGUAGGCGGUUUGUCGCGUCUGCCGUGAAAAAUUCGAGGCUCAACCUCGAACUUGCGGUGGGUACGGGCAGACUAGAGUGUGGUAGGGGAGACUGGAAUUCCUGGUGUAGCGGUGAAAUGCGCAGAUAUCAGGAGGAACACCGAUGGCGAAGGCAGAUCUCUGGGCCGUAACUGACGCUGAGGAGCGAAAGCAUGGGGAGCGAACAGG
This 254-nucleotide ribosomal RNA is filed under the name uncultured bacterium. RNAcentral's name for it is "partial 16S ribosomal RNA". It matches the Rfam family "Bacterial small subunit ribosomal RNA", at positions 524 to 776 of the family's 1533-position model. The record is from RNAcentral.